Molecule: ribosomal RNA, 253 nt
Filed under: uncultured bacterium
Lineage: Bacteria
Description: partial 16S ribosomal RNA
Rfam family: Bacterial small subunit ribosomal RNA
Source: RNAcentral
UACGGAGGGGGCUAGCGUUGUUCGGAAUUACUGGGCGUAAAGCGCGCGUAGGCGGCUUUGUAAGUUAGAGGUGAAAGCCCGGAGCUCAACUCCGGAACUGCCUUUAAGACUGCAUCGCUUGAAUCCAGGAGAGGUGAGUGGAAUUCCGAGUGUAGAGGUGAAAUUCGUAGAUAUUCGGAAGAACACCAGUGGCGAAGACGGCUCACUGGACUGGUAUUGACGCUGAGGUGCGAAAGCGUGGGGAGCAAACAGG